Non-coding RNA from Camellia sinensis, 1513 nucleotides. Lineage: Eukaryota; Viridiplantae; Streptophyta; Magnoliopsida; Ericales; Theaceae. The record is from RefSeq and is a predicted model, not a curated record.
AAUACAUUGGCAUUUUCCAUUGACCUCAACCAAACCAUGGCUAGAGCACAGGCCAUACCAUGUUUACCAUGUUUGAUGAGAGUACUGGUUUUGAAUCUCUUGAUCUCCUCACUAGUUUUUCCUUUGUCAGCUACACCACUUAAGAGGAGAAAAAGUCUGAAUACUAUAAAGUACCUCAAUCACAAAGGGCCAUAUCUUGGUCUCAUCACAGUCUACCCACCUGAAGAAGAUGCAUUCUUUGCAACAAAGGCCUUUAAACUUGACCCAAUACACCCUUUUGUGGAUCUCUCAGGCAGACGAUUCCGGGUGGGGAACUUACAUGGGAAGAAAGUCAUCUAUGUGAGAUGUGGGAUUGGAAUGGUGAAUGCAGCUGCAGCAACACAACAAAUGUUGGAUCUGUUCGACAUAACAGGAAUUGUACAUUUUGGGAUAGCCGGCAAUUUGAACAAUUCCAUGUCAAUCGGAGAUGUCACCAUCCCAAAACAAUUUGCCCACACUGGCAUUUGGGAUUGGCUGGAACUGAAUGGAACAUUGGGAACUAAUGAUUUUGCUGACUUAAAAAUUGGAAGCUACAAUGUACCUAAAAUGCAAGGGAUUAAUCUGUUGGGACAAAUUGGAUAUAGCUACGAGGAAUUCUUCUCCGAGUCAGGGAAGCCUGAUACUGCUCAACCUUUGCUUUGGUUGCAGAUAACCCGGAAAUGGCUUCAGUUUGCUACUAGUUUGGAGGGGAUGGAACUAGAGCAAUGUGUGAACUCAAGUGUGUGCCUUCCUCAAAAGCCCAAACUAGUAGUUGGACUCCGAGGCUCAACCGCCAACAUUUUUGCAGGCAAUGUAGCAUACAGGGACUUCCUCUUCAAUACUUUUCAAGUUUCAUCAGUUGACAUGGAGAGUGCAGCUGUGGUGAUGUAGUUUGUUUCUUGGUACUAAAGGUGUAACUUCUGAGAUAUCUCUGUGUCCAAGCUUAGCUCUCAUGGAGAUUUUUGGGUGACCUUGCAUAGCCAAGAGGAGAAGAAGAACAUGGUGCUGAUGAUGAUGAUGAGCCUUUCUCUUGCUUGUUUUUGCUCAACAGUCUCAAGAAUCCUUUAUCUACUUGUGCCUAUUGACAGAGCUUCAUGUGUCUUUUCUCCACUGGCAAUGGAGAUUGGACAUCUAAUAUACACCCUUCAAUGCAACUUUUGUAAACACAAUUCUGUAAAUUGCUUUCAAUAGAACGAAGUCUGUCGAUUGAAGAAGUUAUACAAUCUAGUGUUGUUCCCCGCUUUGUAUGGUUGAGGUUUGAACAUGGGAGGCGAUGGCCGGUGGUGGCCGGCGGUGAAGUGGCUGGUGAGAUGGUGGUGGGUGAGAUGUGUAUGGAGAAAUUGUGAGAUGUGUGGGUGAGAUGGUAAUUUUGUUAAAGGAUAAAAUUGUGAUUCUGAAAAGAUUCAUUAAGUGUGUGAAGUAAGGAAACUUGGUGUAUGGAAGUAGAAUUUUCCCAUAUUUAUAAAGCCUUAAUUCCAUAUUAGCCCAUCAUAAA